CAACUACUCCCUCUGUCCCAAAUUUCUUGUCUUAGAUUUGUCUAGAUACGGAUGUAUCUAAUACUAAAAUGUGACUUGAUACAUCCAUAUCUAGACAAAUCUAAGACAAGAAUUUUGGGAUGGAGGGAGUACUUU
Triticum aestivum (bread wheat) is the source of this 135-nucleotide non-coding RNA. The record is from Rfam. Lineage: Eukaryota; Viridiplantae; Streptophyta; Magnoliopsida; Poales; Poaceae.